This 253-nucleotide ribosomal RNA is filed under the name uncultured bacterium. Its description in RNAcentral is "partial 16S ribosomal RNA". It matches the Rfam family "Bacterial small subunit ribosomal RNA", at positions 524 to 776 of the family's 1533-position model. The record is from RNAcentral.
UACGGGGGGAGCAAGCGUUGUCCGGAAUCAUUGGGCGUAAAGAGCGUGUAGGCGGCCCGGUAAGUCCGCUGUGAAAGUCCAGGGCUCAACCCUGGGAUGCCGGUGGAUACUGUCGGGCUCGAGUCCGGAAGAGGAGUGUGGAAUUCCUGGUGUAGCGGUGAAAUGCGCAGAUAUCAGGAGGAACACCAAUGGCGAAGGCAGCACUCUGGGACGUGACUGACGCUGAGACGCGAAAGCGUGGGGAGCAAACAGG